GACGUAGGGUGCGAGCGUUGUCCGGAAUUACUGGGCGUAAAGCGUGUGUAGGCGGCUAGGUAAGUCGGAUGUGAAAGCCCCGGGCUCAACUCGGGAAGUGCACUCGAUACUGCUUAGCUCGAGUACCGGAGAGGUUGGUGGAAUUCUCGGUGUAGGGGUGAAAUUCGUAGAUAUCGAGAGGAACACCGGUGGCGAAGGCGGCCAACUGGACGAGUACUGACGCUGAGACACGAAAGCGUGGGGAGCAAACAGG
This 253-nucleotide ribosomal RNA is filed under the name uncultured bacterium. Its description in RNAcentral is "partial 16S ribosomal RNA". It matches the Rfam family "Bacterial small subunit ribosomal RNA", at positions 524 to 776 of the family's 1533-position model. The record is from RNAcentral.